This is an RNA transcript of Homo sapiens (human), 6797 nucleotides long. It is a transcript of the gene named small nuclear RNA activating complex polypeptide 3, with no coding region annotated. NCBI's taxonomy places the organism in Eukaryota, Metazoa, Chordata, Mammalia, Primates, Hominidae. The record is from RefSeq and is marked validated. The transcript is spliced from 10 exons.
GAACAUGGCUGAAGGAAGCCGAGGUGGCCCUACGUGUAGCGGGGUGGGUGGCAGGCAGGACCCAGUCUCCGGCAGUGGCGGCUGCAACUUUCCAGAGUAUGAGCUUCCCGAGCUAAAUACGCGCGCUUUCCAUGUGGGCGCCUUUGGGGAGCUGUGGCGGGGCCGUCUGCGCGGGGCCGGGGACUUGUCGCUGAGGGAGCCGCCGGCAUCCGCUCUGCCUGGGAGCCAGGCAGCUGACUCCGACCGGGAGGAUGCCGCGGUGGCCAGGGAUCUGGACUGCAGCCUGGAGGCGGCGGCUGAGCUGAGGGCGGUGUGCGGCCUUGAUAAACUGAAAUGCCUUGAGGACGGUGAGGAUCCAGAAGUCAUUCCGGAGAAUACUGACCUGGUGACUUUGGGGGUUAGAAAAAGGUUCUUGGAACAUCGGGAAGAAACCAUUACAAUAGAUCGAGCCUGCAGACAAGAAACAUUCGUUUAUGAGAUGGAGUCACAUGCCAUAGGAAAAAAGCCUGAAAAUUCAGCAGACAUGAUUGAAGAAGGGGAGCUUAUCCUAUCUGUGAAUAUCUUGUACCCUGUUAUAUUUCAUAAGCACAAAGAACACAAACCAUACCAAACAAUGCUGGUGUUGGGCAGUCAAAAACUCACACAACUGAGGGAUUCAAUUCGAUGUGUCAGUGACCUCCAGAUUGGUGGUGAAUUCAGCAACACUCCUGACCAAGCCCCUGAGCACAUCAGCAAAGUAAGGACCUAUACAAAUCAGCCUUCUUUUAUUUUGAAGGAACAUUUUAUAAUGAUAAAAGAUACCCAGAAUGCAGAGAUUUGAGCAGAACUAUCAUUGAGUGGUCAGAGUCCCAUGAUAGAGGCUAUGGAAAGUUUCAGACUGCUAGAAUGGAAGAUUUCACCUUCAAUGACUUGUGUAUUAAACUGGGUUUUCCUUACUUAUACUGUCAUCAGGGAGACUGUGAACAUGUCAUUGUCAUUACUGACAUAAGGCUUGUGCAUCAUGAUGACUGCUUGGAUAGGACAUUGUAUCCCCUCCUUAUCAAGAAGCAUUGGCUAUGGACCAGAAAAUGUUUUGUUUGUAAAAUGUAUACAGCCAGAUGGGUGACGAACAAUGACAGUUUUGCACCAGAGGACCCAUGCUUCUUUUGUGAUGUUUGCUUCCGAAUGCUGCACUAUGAUUCAGAAGGCAACAAACUGGGGGAAUUCCUUGCUUAUCCUUAUGUUGAUCCUGGAACCUUUAAUUAAGAAUAGCUACACUCACAAAAAUACCCCCUCAUGAAAUAACUGUUCUCUUGGAUGGUUACCUUAUUUCUAAGAAACGCCACUGAGGAACAGGAUCCACUUUGAACAGUCCGCUAAAGCUAUCAAAAAAAAGUCCAAAUGACAGAUUUUCUUAUAAUGAUAGUAUUUAAAUGUUUAUAACAUAGUUUAAUUUUAUAUUUAUUCCAGAUAGUAUUUAAUUUAGUGCUUUUUACCCAUUUUGAGUUGAGUUGUAGUACUUUAUAUAUUCUGACUUUAAAUCCUUUGUCAGACACACAUAUUCUUUCUCCCAAUCCAUGCCUUCCCUAUUCAUUCUCUGUCCAGAGUUUUUUGCUAAAGAUAGAAUUAUUAAUGAUACAUCAAGUAGUGGAAGUGUUUUGAAAAUUCUUUGAAGAAUGUGAGAGCUACACCUUCUACCAUGAGGCUUCCAAGGUUGUAUUUAAAUUUGACUGAAUAUCUGGAUGGCUAAGAACAGACAUUUAUCUUACACAUGGAAAACUGACGAAACCUAUAAGCCUAUGUGUUUGACAGUGAAGUAUGUUUUAUGGACUUAAAUGCCACAAACAGUUAAGUCCAUUGGCUUGGAGAUGACAAGCACGAGUUUCUGGUAUGUCUAGUGUUCUCAUUCACUGAUUCAGUCAGUACACAGAUAAUCAGUAUAGAGAACUUAAGAGGCUGGCUUAUGUUAUACCUAAAUUUUUACUUUCUUGUAUACAACAAUGCUAAAAUUGAGCAGAUUGAUAACUGCCAGCAAACCAUAGAUUUAAGAUAAAUGAAUGAUUUACCCAACCCUAAAAUUCCAUGGGUAAAAAUUUUGAUUCCUUUAUUUUCAAUACUGCGUUCCUUAUAGGUCUUACAUGCAUAUGCAAGGAUAUUUUAUCUUAUUCAUUCAUUUCAUACUCUCAAAACACCAAACUUCAAAAAGUUAAUUAUUGUCAUAAUGCAUUAUUCCAUGUGUGGUGUCAAUACAUUUUAGCGGACAAAGAAGAAACAUGCCAGUUAAAACAUUUCUGCUACUGGGAUUCUUUAUUAAUUAUUUGAGAAUGUUAUUUUGCUAGUUCUUAAGGUUAAGUUUUUCAUCAAAGACUCAGGUACCUAUUAUUGUUCCCUGGUGAAACUGAGGAGAAAAGUUAAUCAACCAGGUUACUCCCACAGUUUGCCCGUGUGUUAUGUAUCAGUUAUACAGGUAUCCCACCAAGUUCAAGUCAAAAGAAAUUCCUAACUUUGUAUAUUUCUGGAGCUAUAAAACCCCUGAUUUAAGACAGCUUUUCUCUUUUUUCGAGGCAGCUUUUCUUUAUGCUUAUUUCAAUCAAAUGUAACACGCCUGUCAAAUUACAUGUAACACAUUAGCUAAUGAAGAUAGGCAACUGAAAAUGUUGUCAUGAACAUGUCAACCUGCUUGGUAGUUGAAUUUGACUUUUAUAUAAUAGUGGAUACACAUGCACAGAAGUUACUAGAGAAGCAAUAGCUAUUUCUUUAAACAUUCUUCAGGCAUCAGUACCAUUUAAGGACAAUUAGACAUUCUAGUUUUACUAGGAGAAAGGUCAGUCAUCUCUAACAUUGUGUUGCAGAAUUACACGACACAAACAUAAACACAUUUCUGCCUAUUAAACCAGUUUCUUUGUUUCUAAAGAGUUUAAUGAUACAGGUUUGCUAUUUCCAUUAGAGCAUCCUUUUUCUGGCCAAUCGGACAAAAUAGAGUUAGCAAAGCCCUCACAGCACCCUAUGAAAAAUCUCUGCUCUUAUACAGGAUUAGAUGCAGACCUCAUCUUGACCUAACAUCUGUAACCAGGUAAGUGUAUGAGUAGGAACACAGACAGCAGUACUGUAUCAGCAAAAUCUAUCAUAUUAUUUGAAAUCACUGGAUAUAAUAUUAAUUAUAAAGUGUAUGGUUCUCUCCAGUUGUUCACAUACCAAAUCCCAGUCAGUUCUCAGAUUCAGAUAGAUGUAUCUGCAAUUUCUCCAAGCAGCUAAGAAAACCUUCAAUGGUCAGUUCUGCUUGGUCAUGGUAUGACUCUUUUUUUUUUUUUUUUUUUUUUUUUUUGAGAUGGAGUCUUGCUCUGUCUCCCAGGCUGGAGUGCAGUGGGGCAAUCUCAGCUCACUGCAACCUCUGCCUCCCGGGUUCAAGCAAUUCUCCUGCCUCAGCCUCCCGAGGAGCUGGGAUUACAGGCACGUGCCACUGCGCCCGGCUGAUGUAUGACUCUUUUAUCCAGUAAUCAAAACACAUACGUACAUACACACACAUACCAGCCCAAAAGAGGUGUUAAAACAUACAUAUUACACGUACUUUUUGGAGGGGUGGGGUGGGGUGGGGUGGGGUGGGGUGGGGGUUAUCUAUCUCAAAAUUACCUUUUGGUGCCUUGUCAAGCUGUGGAGUUUUGACCACACACACAAAUUGAGCCAAUGAACAAUUUCAAUGAUCCUGAAAGUUCUUAAGUCUUAUGAAUAAUUAUCAAGAGUUCUGAGAAGUUAUCUGUAAAUCAGCCUAUGACACCAUUUCUUGAGAGUUAUGAUUAAAGAAACAGCAAUUAUGCUUGAAGCGAACAUACAUCAACUAGUUAGAGCAAGGUCAGCCUGUACAAGCUGACAUAAAUUAUGAGAAUGAUGCUCUAUCUCUAGAAUUGGAAUAUUCUGUGGCUUCUUUGUAAAACUAUAGAUCUGGUGGGUCAUGGGAAGAAAGGGAGGGUGAACAAAAGAUAAAUAUUACCUUUAUUUUUUAUCAUCUUGAGCUUACUGUUUAGUUACCCCGUUUCCCAAAACAGCACAACCUCUGUGACCAGUUAACUAAGAAAUUAUUUCCUUGGCAGCAAACCCAGAAUUCCAUCACUUACUCUUGUAAAUAGCAAGAAAGUAAUUUACUAGCAGAGUUUGAUAGAAAAAUUCUUUAAUGAAAACAAGUUUACACGUUGAACUUAUGGCUUAACUAGAAUAAAUCUAAGUAAGUUAAAACUGUAUAAGGACCAAACAGAUAAUGACUGGUAUAUAUGCAGGUUCUCUCAAAACGGUGAUUCCUAGUUCCAUUAUAAGACCUCUUUAAAAGCAAAAAUGCAAUUCUGUAGAUGAAAACAGUUAUCUCAGAGGGUCAACCACACAAUGUCAUACAGAGACGCUGGUCUUAAGCCAUUUUUUUCCAUAUUCAUAUAAUUUCAAAACAUGAGAAGUAUCCUACUUGCUGAGAAGUGCCAAAUGACCCUAAUAUUCAAAAUAUCUUAGAAAUGCUAUCCUUUAGUUAACAUACCCUUAAAUUUUGUAACAUUGAUUUUACCCUGGAUUUAGUCCAUACACGUCAAUGUACAGACUUAUCAAAGUACAAUGCUGGAACAACUAGUGUUUGUAUUUUUGGAAUCUAGAAAAUAAAAACAAUAUAGCCAUGAUUUCAAAUAGGUGAGUUUCCUUAUAUAACAUUUAUUCAUAUUUAUUGUAUAAGCAUCAUGAUUUUUUCUUCCAAUUAAGUUUUAGUGACUUCCUAAAGACAUUUUUAACAACAUUCCUCAAAAAUAAACUUACUUAGUUUUCAGUUUUAGUUACUAGUGCCUGCCUAUAAAAGGACCUUAAAUGAUUUAACCCUAAAGCCAGAUUCAUUCCUAUAUAUACCCAGUCAGUUGUCUGCAAAGAAGUCCUAAGACUUCACUGAAUGCCCAGCCACAAAACUAAAUUACCUUCAAAAAUUAAUGUUUUAUAGUUUGUAGAAUUCUCAGUUCCAUGUCAGUUGCUUAAUUAGUUGUCAUACCAAAAAAAACCAUACAGAGCACACAUUGUUCCAAAGAAGCUGGAUAAUGUAGCACAAUGUAGACUGUGAGAUUAAAAUUAACUUUUGAUAAAAAGGGAGUGAGUACUUGUAUAGAAGUAACAUUUUAUCUACCAUAAAAAUGUGUAACUUCUACAAAACCCACAAACAGUGAAAAGACAGUCUGGUAAAUCCAAGGUUUGUAAAAACUAUGCACAAAACCCACAGUAUUUGGGAAAAGAGGCAAGGUUUAUACAAGUAGCAGUUUUAAAAAUGUAACUUUGUUCUACUAUCAAUUACACAUUAACAUACACACACUAAUUGAAAAUAUGCUACAACCAUGUCUGGAAAAGCAGUUUAACAUUUUCUAAAUGGAUUUUAUCCCACAUUUACUGUAUAAUGUAGCUGUUAAUACUGCACAAGUACACUUAGCGAUAAUGUUUACUUUACUUUAAAACAAAGGGAUUUUCUCCCUCAAAACAAGUUUUCAACAUCAAACCUAUGCUUAUAAAAAUUUAAAACUUUCAGCAGUCUAUUUCAAAUGAAAACCAUUACAAACUUCUCAAGUGUUCUCUAUAUUCCAGGUAUGUCAACCUAGUUAUCUAGUGUAGAAUCCUUCAGAGAUAUUUCAGUCUCUCUCUCUUCACUGGAUGGCCUGAAGAAAAGGGGGAAAGGUACAACUGGAAUUAGGAUUUUCUCCUGAUGAAGGAAAAAAAGACAUUAAGUCUGCAUUAUAUUUUUAAACCCAUGAAAAGACUGAAACCAACCAAACAAAAGAAAAACUUGACUUGUUAUUAGAACAGUCAUUAUUAUUUUUUUCUUCUUCAAAACUGUUAUUUUACCAUGUUGUAUCUUCUUCCCAAAGUAAUAUGCAGAUGAAGCAAAAUAACUCAGCAAAGUGUCAUGGACCAAGCCCUUUCCAUCAUUUCUAGCAUAAAAGUGAAUUCUCUUUAAAGAACAUGAGAAUGUUUUAUAUCUGUGAUACCAACAUAUUUCAAAAUCUUAAUAAAAAGAGAGGUUGAUACACACAUAGACAACAAGAUUUCCCUCAAUUUCAGAAUUAGAAGGGAUGCUUCUAUCUAACUCCUUCAGAUACACAGUGGAACAAAGCAAGACUUCAACUAUGGCUCCAUAGCCUAUUUUAGGGUGGGUAUUAAAAAAUAGCCUGUGAUGGCCGGGCAUGUUGGCUCACAGCUGUAAUCCCAACACUGGGAAGCCAAGGUGGGUGGAUCACCUGAGGUCAGGAGUUCGAGGCCGGGCUGGCCAACAUGGUGAAACCUCAUCUCUACUAAAAAUACAAAAAAUUAGAUGGGCGUGGUGGCAGGUGCCUGUAAUCCCAGCUACUUGGGAGGCUGAGGCAGGAGAAUCGCUUGAACCCAGGAAGUGGAGGUUGCAGUGAGCACGAUCGUGCCAUUGCACUCCAGCCUGAGCAACAAGAGUGAAACUCUGUCUCAAAGAAAAAACAACAACAACAAAACUGUGAUUCUCCAUCUAACUUUUUACAAUUAUCCUUUCACAAUUCAAGAAAGUGUGAAUGCAAGUCAUUACUAACAGUAUCUCAGUAAAAGUAGUCCAGGAGCAAAUAUUUUCUUUUUAACUGGGUUCCCAGCUAGUUCCAUUCCCUUGAAUUCAGUGGCAAAGUCACUGUCAAUAAAAGGUUUUUACUCUUCUUCCUUUUUGAAUUGUAACUUGCUUACUGAAUUCAGGAAUUGGGUGAUCAAAAGAUAACUGCUUAUUAUAGUAAGAUAACCUUGGAACAGAACUGUGAUUAAAAACCUGAAUAAUAAAAAACACACAAGACCCAUUAAAA